This 333-nucleotide ribosomal RNA is filed under the name uncultured eukaryote. Its description in RNAcentral is "partial 18S ribosomal RNA". It matches the Rfam family "Eukaryotic small subunit ribosomal RNA", at positions 1470 to 1796 of the family's 1831-position model. The record is from RNAcentral.
CCCUUAGAUGUCCGGGGCUGCACGCGCGCCACACUGAGUGGAUCAGCGUGUGUCUACCCUUCGCCGAGAGGCGUGGGUAACCCGCUGAACCCCACUCGUGAUAGGGAUUGGGGAUUGCAAUUAUUUCCCAUGAACGAGGAAUUCCCAGUAAGCGCGGGUCAUAAGCUCGCGUUGAUUAAGUCCCUGCCCUUUGUACACACCGCCCGUCGCUACUACCGAUUGGAUGGUUUAGUGAGGUCCUCGGAUCGGCCCCGCCGGGGUCGGUCACGGCCCUGGCGGAGCGCCGAGAAGACGAUCAAACUUGNCNAUCUAGNGGAAGUAAAANUCGUANCA